UGAUUUAUUCCAGUUUGGUGAAACAUCAGACACAUUCAGUAUGUUAACCGCAGAGCUCAGAGAAGAAGGAGAGCUGAAUGAGGACAGUUUCAUGUUUAUCGACCGCAACAGGCAGGAACUGGUCGGAGUGCUGAGUUCACGUUCUCCACAUGUGUGGUCUGCCGGCCCAGGGGACCUAUCCCAGAAUCCCAGACACACGUGUGCAGGCAGAAGCAGUAGUGCAAUGCAGAGUAGAUAAACAGUGCUCUUACUGGCCACUGGGCACACUCCACUUCCAAAAAAUAAUGCCAAGUUAACUACUUUGCAGAAGUAUAUAGCAAAAAGGCAAAUGGCAAAAAGUACUUUUGCUGCUCAUCUUGAUUCUUAAGAACAAGGA
Notolabrus celidotus (New Zealand spotty) is the source of this 376-nucleotide long non-coding RNA. RefSeq lists it as uncharacterized. The record is from RefSeq and is a predicted model, not a curated record. The transcript is spliced from 3 exons. NCBI's taxonomy places the organism in Eukaryota, Metazoa, Chordata, Actinopteri, Labriformes, Labridae.